AUUGAACGCUGGCGGCACGCCUAACACAUGCAAGUCGAGCGGUAACAUGAUAAGUAGCAAUACUUAUUGAUGACGAGCGGCGGACGGGUGAGGAACACGUAGGAACUUGCCCAAGAGAGGGGGAUAACCAAGGGAAACUUUGGCUAAUACCGCAUAUACUCGUGAGAGGAAAGCUGUUUGGAGUGAUCCUGAUGGCGCUUUUGGAGAGGCCUGCGUCCGAUUAGCUAGUUGGUGAGGUAAAAGCUCACCAAGGCGAUGAUCGGUAACUGGUCUGAGAGGACGACCAGUCACACUGGGACUGAGACACGGCCCAGACACCUACGGGUGGCUG
This 331-nucleotide ribosomal RNA is filed under the name uncultured Pseudomonadota bacterium. RNAcentral describes it as "bacterial SSU rRNA". It matches the Rfam family "Bacterial small subunit ribosomal RNA", at positions 30 to 351 of the family's 1533-position model. Lineage: Bacteria; Pseudomonadati; Pseudomonadota. The record is from RNAcentral.